This 72-nucleotide transfer RNA is filed under the name Penaeus chinensis. RNAcentral's name for it is "tRNA-Ile". Lineage: Eukaryota; Metazoa; Arthropoda; Malacostraca; Decapoda; Penaeidae. The record is from RNAcentral.
AAUGAAGUGCCUGAAAAAGGAUUAUCUUGAUAGGGUAAAACAUGUAAGUAAAAUCUUACCUUCAUUGCCCCC